Bos taurus (domestic cattle) is the source of this 1803-nucleotide long non-coding RNA. The record is from Ensembl. Lineage: Eukaryota; Metazoa; Chordata; Mammalia; Artiodactyla; Bovidae.
GAACAACUUGUCAAUUCUGCUAGUGUUCUGUCUAAGCUUCAAAAUGGCACAGCACUCAGAUACCCUAGUAUAUCAUAAUGUCUUUGACAUUUUCCUGAGGAAAAAGCAUGGAUUAUGAGUCAAUGUACAAAAGGAAGAAUAAAAGCUAUCUCUGUGGAAUUUAUGCUUCUAUGGAUGAUCAAAAGGAGCAUCCAACGGUAUAGCAGGGAAUUUUCCAUAUCCACUGCUGGCACAUGGCACAGACUUAGUCUCAAAACUGCUGCUAAAAUUAUUAAUAGAUAGGUGAACUCCUCUGGAUGAAAUUUUGAAGCUGGUUAGAAGUCAUUUUUGUGCUGCUUAUGGUCAUUUUUUUGCCAUCAGUGAGGGCAGCCUACCCAAGAAUAAAGCAAUAUAGGGGACAACUGACAAGCAAGUGGAGAAAGAAUCCAAAAAAUAACAUGUGACCAUCUGAUCCAGGGAACAUUCCAAGAAGGCUCCAUGAAAACUCUGGGACUUGAGGCAGCCUUUGAAAGCUGAGUGAAUUAUAUAAAACCCAUGCCCAAAUGCUACUUCCCAUGGUUGAAAGAAGUUGGGGUUUAGGACUGGGCACAUCUGGGUUCUAUCCUUGGCCUACCAUAUGCCAGCUUAGUAACUGGGUGCAAUUUUACUUAGCCUCCUCUGAGACUCAGUUUCCUCAACUUUAUGCUACUGAUCAAACCAACUGUGCAGAGUUCUCAUGAAUAAUGAGAUACACAAGAUACAUUUUUUUUUAUUGUCUGGCAAAUAGGUGCUCAACAAAUGUAAGAUAUUUUUAUUAGCUAGAAUUUGUGUAGAAGGUAUGUGAGUUAGAAUUUAAUCUCUUACCUAGGGCUUAAUUAAAUCUGCAAUUUGUAGGCAUCAAUGGACACGCAAUUUGAAGCCAUCUUGAAAGCACGGGUGAAAAUACACUGUAUGAAAAGCUCUGGAGCCAUCAGGACUUCACAAGUACAACAGAGCAUCCCAUGACAACAGAGCCAACUUGGAAGUACUGUUCAUUGCCAUCGCAGAUUAAUUAUCAACUCCACUGCCUGCUCUUCAAGACUUGGGACCUUCAGAAAUGAAUCAAAUAUUAGAAAAUAUAAAGUUGGCUUCUGUUUACACCCCUGCUCAUUUCUACCUCUGUGGAUUGGAAGAUAAGAAAGCCAAAUUUCUUGCUCCCCAGGGUACCACUGAAGAUUCAUAUCCAUGGAACAGAGUCCAAUUAUAACAUUUCCUGAGAUUCUGAAAGUCUUAUGUGAUCAAGCUGAGAUUUUUUUGAUUGGGAUUGAGCUCCAUUAACCUUUCUCAAAGAGAAGGAAUCUUUUUGCACUGUGCUAAGGGACUCUACCCAUAUAAGUCAGCAUGUGACUUGCCAGAAUUUGAAAAGAAAAACCUGGCCUGGACUUAUGAAAGGGGCAUUGGAUCCUAAUUCUUCAGGCUGCUGCUUCUCCUGGCAACCUUUAAAGGAUAAUGUGGGACUGUGCUGAUACCAUCCGGGUGAAGGACAGCUUCAUUUCUAUUUAAAUUUACAUCUGUUGCAAACUCACAUCACAAUUAAAUGUGUUUCUUAGGUAUCUUACUAAAAUUGAGGCUCUUUGGCUCUUAUGUAAAUUUUCCAUUACGUAGAUGUUAAGGAAUGAGAAAAUCCAAAUUCUGGUGUACAAUCUAUUUUGGCAAGUAUUUAAAAAUUUCUGAGCCUGUUAAUUCCUCUGCAAACCAAACACUUUUGACUAGAUUCAAUUUUUUUUUUAAAUGUGGCACUUUGGCAACAUGGUAAAGUUUUUAUAUUCAUAGGCUAAAUAUAGA